This 460-nucleotide ribosomal RNA is filed under the name uncultured bacterium. RNAcentral's name for it is "partial 16S ribosomal RNA". It matches the Rfam family "Bacterial small subunit ribosomal RNA", at positions 338 to 795 of the family's 1533-position model. The record is from RNAcentral.
CCUACGGGCGGCAGCAGUGAGGAAUAUUGGUCAAUGGACGAGAGUCUGAACCAGCCAAGCAGCGUGAAGGAUGACUGCACAAUGUGUUGUAAACCUCUUUUAUAUGGGAAUAAAACAGGGUAUGCAUACCCUCUUGUAUGUACCAUAUGAAUAAGGAUCGGCUAACUCCGUGCCAGCAGCCGCGGUAAUACGGAGGAUACGAGCGUUAUCCGGAUUUAUUGGGUUUAAAGGGAGCGCAGGUGGAUUGUUAAGUCAGUUGUUAAAGGUUGCGGCUCAACCGUAAAAUUGCAGUUGAAACUGGCAGUCUUGAGUACAGUAGAGGUGUGCGGAAUGCGCGGUGUAGCGGUGAAAUGCUUAGAUAUCGCGAAGAACUCCGAUUGCGAAGGCAGCUCGCUGGACUGCAACUGACACUGAGGCUCGAAAGUGUGGGUAUCAAACAGGAUUAGAUACCCGUGUAGUC